This 433-nucleotide ribosomal RNA is filed under the name uncultured Sphingobacteriales bacterium. RNAcentral describes it as "bacterial SSU rRNA". It matches the Rfam family "Bacterial small subunit ribosomal RNA", at positions 950 to 1382 of the family's 1533-position model. The record is from RNAcentral. Lineage: Bacteria; Pseudomonadati; Bacteroidota; Sphingobacteriia; Sphingobacteriales.
UUCGAUGAUACGCGAGGAACUUACCUGGGCUCGAACGUAAGAUGACUGUAGGUGAAAGCUUACAUCUCUUCGGAGCAUUUUACGAGGUGCUGCAUGGUUGUCGUCAGCUCGUGCCGUGAGGUGUCGGGUUAAGUCCCAUAACGAGCGCAACCCCUACCUUUAGUUGCCAUCAGGUAAUGCUGGGGACUCUAAAGGAACUGCCUACGCAAGUAGUGAGGAAGGCGGGGAUGACGUCAAAUCAGCACGGCCCUUAUGUCCAGGGCGACACACGUGCUACAAUGGCCGGCACAGCGGGAAGCGGAGGGGCGACCCUGAGCGGAUCCCUUGAAAGCCGGUCCCAGUUCGGAUUGCAGUCUGCAACUCGACUGCAUGAAGUUGGAAUCGCUAGUAAUCGCGGAUCAGCCAAGCCGCGGUGAAUACGUUCCCGGGCCUU